GUUCGAUUCCGGAGAGGGAGCCUGAGAAACGGCUACCACAUCCAAGGAAGGCAGCAGGCGCGCAAAUUACCCACUCCCAGAACGGGGAGGUAGUGACGAAAAAUAACAAUACGGGACUCUUUUGAGACCCCGUAAUUGGAAUGAGUACACUCUAAAUCCUUUAACGAGGAUCCAUUGGAGGGCAAGUCUGGUGCCAGCAGCUGCGGUAAUUCCAGCUCCAAUAGCGUAUAUUAAAGUUGUUGCGGUUAAAAAGCUCGUAGUUGGAUCUCAGUUCCAGACGGGUGGUCCGCCUACCGGUGGUUACUGCCUGUUCUGAACAGCCAGCCGGUUUCUCUUGAUGAUCUUCACCGGUUGUCUWGGGUGACCGGCAAGUUUACUUUGAAAAAAUUAGAGUGCUCAAAGCAGGCGUGACGCCUGAAUAAUGGUGCAUGGAAUAAUGGAAUAGGACCUCGGUUCUAUUUUGUUGGUUUUCGGAACACGAGGUAAUGAUUAAGAGGGACAGACGGGGGCAUUCGUAUUGCGACGCUAGAGGUGAAAUUCUUGGACCGUCGCAAGACGAACUACUGCGAAAGCAUUUGCCAAGAAUGUUUCCAUUAAUCAAGAACGAAAGUUAGAGGUUCGAAGGCGAUCAGAUACCGCCCUAGUUCUAACCAUAAACGAUGCCAGCCAGCGAUCCGGCUGUGUUCCUCAAAUAACACGCCKGGCAGCUUCCGGGAAACCAAAGCUUUUGGGUUCCGGGGGAAGUAUGGUUGCAAAGCUGAAACUUAAAGGAAUUGACGGAAAGGCACUACAAGGAUUGGAGCCUGCGGCUUAAUUUGACUCAACGCUGGGCAACUUACCCGGUCCGGACACAGGAAGGAUUGACAGAUUAAGAGCUCUUUCUUGAUUCUGUGGGUGGUGGUGCAUGGCCGUUCUUAGUUGGUGGAGCGAUUUGUCUGGUUAAUUCCGAUAACGAACGAGACUCUAGCCUACUAAAUAGACGCUCCGAUCAUUUAUAGUCGGACGUUCUUCUUAGAGGGACAAGCGGAGUCUAUCCGCACGAGACAGAGCAAUAACAGGUCUGUGAUGCCCUUAGAUGUCCGGGGCCGCACGCGUGCUACAUUGAAAGAAUCAGCGUGUGCUUUCCUCGUCCAACAGGACUGGAUAACCAUUUGAACCUCUUUCGUGCUGGGGAUAGGAAAAUGCAAUUGUUUCCUUGAACGAGGAAUUCCUAGUAAGCACGAGUCAUCAGCUCGUGUUGAUUACGUCCCUGCCCUUUGUACACACCGCCCGUCGCUACUACCGAUUGAAUGAUUUAGUGAGGUCUUUGGAUUGGCGCCCGAUACGGCUUUCGAGUCGCGCCGGUGUGCCGAAAAGAUGACCGAACUUGAUCAUUUAGAGGAAGUAAAAGUCGUAACAAGGUUUCCGUAGG
RNAcentral lists this ribosomal RNA (1411 nucleotides) under Deinopis sp. Dein_GG. Its description in RNAcentral is "SSU rRNA". It matches the Rfam family "Eukaryotic small subunit ribosomal RNA", at positions 377 to 1829 of the family's 1831-position model. The record is from RNAcentral. Lineage: Eukaryota; Metazoa; Arthropoda; Arachnida; Araneae; Deinopidae.